CCAGCCCAUCAAGGCACGCAACCACCACUGACCCCGCCCUUUUGCCUCGGGGAAUGGCGGCUGGCUUGCUCGCCCCUACCAAUGAAUCGUGAUUCAUCCUGUGAAGUACAUUAGUCAUUGGAACAGAGUGAUUUUUCCCCGAGAAAAUUCGGUGUCCGAAGCAAGCAAAUGGGUGUUUUUGCAGCAAUGGGGGUUCUUCCUCCAUUUCCGUACUACUACUGGCUAUGGACAAAUCCCCAGUCAUGGGUGAACCUUUGUGGGAAAGGGCGUGACCCAUGUAAAGUUAUGGCCUGUGUCUCCCAUUUCUUAAAGCUGAUUCAGUUCAUUUCUCUCUAUUCAGUCUCUUCCUUCUUCUUGCCUCCUCCUCUCUACUUCUGGCCCCUCUUUGGCUUUGGCCAGUUUCUCAACUUCAGGGUAUACCAAUUGCUUGGUGAAUCAGGUACUUACUAUGGUGUACGCUUUGGAAAGAAUAUUCCAUGGGUGACAGAAUUUCCAUUUGGUGUUAUAAAAGAUCCUCAAUAUGUUGGAAGCAUUUUGAGCCUUCUUGCAUGUCUAUCUUGGGUCCCCUUCCAAUACAUUCUUUUGUGGUCUCUGGGGUGUGUAUUUAUGAUUCAUGUGGAAUCUAAAGAGGAUCCGGCUACUCGAGCAAAGCUACUUUCUUGAUUACAAGAAUUGCAGUUCACUAACCAAUGAUCUUGAAGACUUUGAUGGGGAUCAUAAUAUGAAGUGAUUUUUUCGCAGUUAUUUUCAAUUGCAGCAAUAUGCACAUGUAUCCAUUAAGCAGUCGAUAACAUUUAAACGAUCAACAAGAUAUGACCCUGACUUUUGGAGUGUGCAUUACGUUGUAAUGUACUAUUAAACUUUUGGCAAUUGUUAUUUGUAUUAAUGGUCUGUUUGGCUCAACUGUGAAGAGUAUUUGGCAAUUAUUGCUGAUGGAAGGUCAUUGAUAACCUAUGAAUGUUAGGUAGUCAAUAAAAAUAAGCUGUUUUUUUGUUAUAUAUCAUAUGACAAUUUAGGAUAACUUUAUUUUUUAAAUAUAUUGACAAUACAUCUUAUUUAAUGUUCUCUCUAUUGUGAUGGUGGAAAUUUAGUUAAGAAAACUUCAAUUUGAAUGUUUGUAAUAAAUAAAGAUGUUACCAUAAAUAGGAUAUCAUACUGCUGUAGUUUUUUUAUGGUAUAGUUACUUCUCAUAUUCCAAUACUUAUAUCUCAUUGUUGAGAAUUGUAAAUAAUUCUGUCACAUGAUAAAUUUACUUGGUAAAGGGUGAUUUUGUUAGUAAUGAAUUUCAAUAGGGGAAACCUAGCCCAAAAUUAGAAUGAAGUCAAGACAGCAAUCUACUAGGGAGCUUUUUAGAUCAACAGCCGUUAGGGCCUGUCUCUUCAAAUAACUCAAUGAACGCUUUUGGUUCAGCUGUUGGGACCAAAAAGCUAAUAGCUGCAUUAGACAGAAUAAACCAAACACCUCCUAAGAUUUCUAGCACAUAUCAGUUAUAAGAUGUUUGAGCUUUUGAUGACAAGUUUUUCUGUUAAGCCAAUUGCAUGAAACCUAAAAGGGAUAGAAUUCAUUUGUACAUAUUUCAAGCUUGGACAAAGUGAACACAAAUGCUUUAAAUUCCAAUUCCCUGAUCUAAAACUUUUAUUUGAAUUGAAUCAACACUGCCUAUAUCAUAAAUUGCAAUUGUUUCAUGAAUUUGUGGUUGCUUGAUUGUCACAAACAGCAAUAAUCAUUUGCCUUAUUGUUUGAAAUCUAUUUGCAAGUUGACACUAUCAAAUUUAUCUGUCAAUGUGAUUUUUCAACACUAUGCCUUCCAUGUACAAAUAGAAGUUAAAGAUUGGAAAAGAAGGAGAAGAUGGGGAAAAAGAAAAUGAAAUUAAAAAACAAAAGAAAAAGGAAAAUUGAGUCUCUUUUUCUUCUAUGCCAGAACCAGGGACAAGUCUAAAAUUUGCAUUGCCUGUUUUAUAUCUUCAAAAUCGAUGUCUUUCAGUUUGCCAGUCUUAGAUGAGACAAUCGUGCAUUUCUUUUCUGCUGCAUUUGGAACAAAUAGUUUACCUUUCUCUUCAGAUGAAAACAGUGCAAUGCUGCAAAAAUGUCAUCCAAAAUACUAAUUAGAGUUGCCUCUUCGCAUUAUGUAAUACUCUUUGAUCAUAUUCUGAAAAUUAUUGACAUGACACAUACCUAUACUAUGCUGCACAUGCAUAAAUUUUAGUUUAAAACACUCAGAUACUGAUCAACAGUAGCUUUGUGUCUACAAACUUAAAUCAGGAGGUUAUGCAAUCAAUCAGAUUACAUGAGUUAUAUUUAGCAGAGAACUUACCUAGGUUUCUCACGUGCAUUUGCAAAUUGGAUGGCUGCUGUGUUUGUAGCUAUUACCCCAGCUGAGUCAUUGAUGAGAGCUGCCAGCUGAAGCAAAAACGAUUUAUAUUUAAUGUUCCCCAAAAGUUAUCUUACUAUUGAUUAAACCUUGUGCAAGCGUUUUUGUUGGAAGUUAUACUAUCUCGUGGCAGAAGUCAUUCUAUAUAUUCAUGUGAUAGAUGAGCAUUCAAAUGUGCAAUGGCUAUUUCUUUAAAUUUAAUGGAAUUUAUAGAAUGAUGCAACGUAAUGCAUAUUCUAGAUCACACAUGGUGUUUCAGCUUCAUGCUCCAAGAUAUUUUGUACCAUACAAGCAAGGUCUGUGCAGAAGGUGAAGGAAAAAAUCAAUAAUUGUUCAGUCUCCUAGAACUAGUUGUAAAAAAAGAAAAUAUGCUUUGCAUUUUUUUGUGCUCCAGAUUGAGCAUAUUUUCCUGCAACUUCUCUCUUUCUCUCAAGGCAGCAUUUUGAUUAUCAGAAAAUGAGUGGAAGAAGACACAUACCUGUCCAGGAGUUGUGAUGAAGACAAUACUGGUAUCAUCACCAACUAUUUCCUCUACAUUUUCCCUUUCCUUCUCAUGUGGAAUGACGAAAACUGGCUUAAAAUCCCUGUUUUCCAUGUAAUCAUCAAGUUUUGCAUCAAUGUCUUAAAACCGUGACAAAGGUAGAAAAAUUGAUAAAAUAAUGUACCUCAUAGCGUCUGCUAUUUCAGCCCAUACUUGGAGAGGCAGCAGGCUAUCAGUAUCACCCCUAGACUGCAUUGUGGCCUUUGAAUCUGAUUCAAUCCCAUGAAUUACAAUAUAUUUUCCUUUCUCUGCACCCACAGCUCUAUAUUUUGCUUCUACAAACUCUUUCAGCUUCCUUGAAAUGGAGACUCUUAACGGAGGCACUGGCUGCCUCGGCACACUUCGAAAGGGUCUUCCCAACCAAUCAAUCAUCUGAUGAUACCUAAACCAAGAAAUGCCCUGAUGAAAACUUCCAAGAUUGACUAGACACCAGUUUCCAGAAAGUUUUGCAAUGUCUCAUUUACCAGGUACUAAGUUCUACAAAUAACAGUACUGUGACAAGAACUCACAUGUGAUAUCCACCUUCUGAAAGAUUCGUACUAUCUGGUGUAAAUGUUUCUGAUAGUAGUAGUCCUGCUCCUGCUGCAUUUACAUUUGGGUAAAUGUAGCUGACUGUAUCUCUAGCAGAUGCCAUAAACAAGAAUGCUGCAUGGCCAAGCCCUGCCAGUUUUGUUGAUAAGACCAUGUCAUAGUACCUAUUCUGCAAACAGAAGAGGAUACAUCUUUACAAGCUAACUGCAAUUGGUAAUUUCUGCAAAUUAUAAGUGUGCAAAUAGGAAACACAUCCUAGUUGUGAUUUGUGAUUCAGUCCUGUAGGAUUAUGGCUUCCUGUGCCCGUAUGAAUUGCUGAAGAGGAUAUCUGACAAUUCAGUUCAACCUGGACUUAAAUAAUUUUUAGAUUCAUUUUCCACUUGGCUCAAAAUUAUUAAUCUAUGUUAUUUAGUAGUUUCAUGCUAGCUAUCGUAUGGAAUUCUAUUUUUCCAUCAUUUGUUGAGAACAUUUAUGAGUUCAAAAGCAGACCCAUCUAACUGGAAAGAAAAAAUGAUACUUGUUAUUUUCUGCUAUGGACCAUGGAGUAGUUCUAGAGUAUGUAUAAAGAAAGAAAGAAUUUCUUCAAUGGGAAACACUUGGAGUUGGAAAGGUAACAGUGAAUGGUGUAAUAAUUACAGAUGCAAUUAUUAAUAUACUAAUUAUGUUUAGUAUUAUCCAUGAAAAAGGAGUAAUAAUUAAGCUUGUAUAGUUGGAUAUGUUUGUUAUGCCUAUGUAAAUGAAAGAUAUAAAUUAAAUUUAUAAUGUCCAUUGAAGUAUUUAUUAGAAUUAUUAUUAUUAUUCUUAUUAUUAUUCUUAAUAGUUACAAGAGCAAUUUUUCGUUUCAAGGAAAUUCAUGUUAUAAGCCCACUCCUACUCUAGCCAAAAAACUGAUAAAAUCACUUUUUUUUUUUUUAAUAUUCCAAUUGUUUGUGUUAAAGAAGCCGGGAAUACUAUACCAACUAACCUUAAGAACUCCAAGCAUGUCAGUAUACUCAGCUGGCUCAGGGAAAUCAUCAUCAGGAUCAUAAACAGUAGCCCAUCUCACAUUCUUGUUCAACUCAUAAGUUUGUUUCCCUCUUGCUGAUGCCACUAUAUCUAUUUGUACACCAGGGUACCUUCAAUAAACACAACACUAUUCAAAUCUCACCAUCACCAAAUUACAUAAAUUUACACAACCUAUUUCUGUAAUGUUACCUAUCCUUGAUCAACUGAAUUGCAGGAAAGAAGAGCAAGUUCUCAUAAACACCACCAGAAAUCACACAGCAGCAUCUCCUAACAUCACCUCUAAUCUUCAAUGGCAAAGAAGCAAUCUCCACAUUGUAACCCAUUGGGAACUUGAGGAACCCAUAUGGGUUAUCGGGGUUAUCAGGUGGCCUGGGAUCUUCCUCUUGCUUGCCGUCUGCAAACAGUGAGCCAUAUUCCAUGUCAGGGUCCUCUCCGUCGUCAAAAAGGUCUAGCCAUGGGUUCUUUUUCUUUGCGUAGGUGAGAGUGGUUGGUUUUCUAGUGCAUGGAGUGAAGAAUGAUGGCUUGGUGAAGUGAGCCGAGGGAAGUGAAGAAGGUGGGUUUGUGAGAAAAGGGGAGAUGGUUUUGGGUAGCAGAGAAGUUGAAGCCAUGAAUUUUCGUUGAUUUCAGCUCUGCUAUUACGGGAGUUAUUAAGGUUUGGGAUUUCAUUUCAAUGGGUGGAAGCUGGUUGGAUAAGUGGGUCCCCUGCUCCAUACUUUUUUUUUUUUUAUUCUUUUUGGCUUUUUAGUUUUAGUUUUUUCCCAUUUAUUUGUUAUAAAAAAAAGAAAAAGAAAUUGCUUAGAUAUUGACUUCUUGGCAGGGAUAAAUGGUGAAAUUAUUAUUAUUAUUUUUCUUCUUUUGGAAAA
RNA transcript from Manihot esculenta (cassava), 5311 nucleotides. It is a transcript of the gene named phosphatidyl-N-methylethanolamine N-methyltransferase, with no coding region annotated. The record is from RefSeq and is a predicted model, not a curated record. Lineage: Eukaryota; Viridiplantae; Streptophyta; Magnoliopsida; Malpighiales; Euphorbiaceae. The transcript is spliced from 3 exons.